GGCAUCGUGGCGGAGUGGUUAACGCGACAGAUUCGAAUUGAAUAGCUUAUCUGUUCCAUUUUAUGGGCGCAUGUUCGAGUCAUGCCGAUGUCG
Molecule: non-coding RNA, 93 nt
Organism: Mycena crocata
Lineage: Eukaryota; Fungi; Basidiomycota; Agaricomycetes; Agaricales; Mycenaceae
Source: the annotation of a GenBank genome assembly